ACUCCUACGGGAGGCAGCAGUGGGAAUAUUGCGCAAUGGGCGAAAGCCUGACGCAGCCAUGCCGCGUGUGUGAAGAAGGCCUUCGGGUUGUAAAGCACUUUCAAUUGGGAAGAAAGCUGCUGCCUAAUAAGCAUCAGCUGUGACAUUACCUUUAGAAGAAGCACCGGCUAACUCCGUGCCAGCAGCCGCGGUAAUACGGAGGGUGCGAGCGUUAAUCGGAAUUACUGGGCGUAAAGCGCAUGCAGGUGGUUUGUUAAGUCAGAUGUGAAAGCCCGGGGCUCAAGCCUCGGAAUAGCAUUUGAAACUGGCAAGCUAGAGUACUGUAGAGGGGUGGAGAAUUUCAGGUGUAGCGGUGAAAUGCGUAGAGAUCUGAAGGAAUACCGGUGGCGAAGGCGGCCCCUGCGCAGAUACUGACACUCAGAUGCGAAAGCGUGGGGAGCAAACAGGAUUAGAUACCCUGGUAGGCUCU
This 469-nucleotide ribosomal RNA is filed under the name uncultured bacterium. Its description in RNAcentral is "bacterial SSU rRNA". It matches the Rfam family "Bacterial small subunit ribosomal RNA", at positions 335 to 798 of the family's 1533-position model. The record is from RNAcentral.